AAUCAGAAUUCGGUUUCACAGCUGAUUCAAUUUUCUGUCAGGGGUUCAGGUGCUUCCUCGUCAUCAGUUCCUAUGGGGUAUAACUCUAUUCAAUUGUCUUCUGCACCGUUCCCUCCAGUUAGCCCAUCACCCUGGGGGGCACCGUCAGCCACGGCCGGUCAAAAUCAAUCGGCCAAUCAGGGAAACCCUCAAUUCCAGACAUCCUUCCAGGCGGCCAUUCGGCCAAC
RNAcentral lists this long non-coding RNA (227 nucleotides) under Setaria viridis. RNAcentral's name for it is "long non-coding RNA (SVIR_LNC009702)". The record is from RNAcentral. Lineage: Eukaryota; Viridiplantae; Streptophyta; Magnoliopsida; Poales; Poaceae.